Molecule: long non-coding RNA, 1875 nt
Organism: Astyanax mexicanus (Mexican tetra)
Lineage: Eukaryota; Metazoa; Chordata; Actinopteri; Characiformes; Acestrorhamphidae
Exons: 3
Source: RefSeq, a predicted model, not a curated record
AUAGGAAACAGACAAAUUUAAUUUUCAGCAUUUUAUUUCUUAAACCAAACUCUGUUUGUACAAAUUUGUUCCAACAACUCAUAAAAAUAAGUGUAUGCUACAUCAAGUUCAAAUUAACCGAUAAAAAGAACACCUUUUCCCUUUUUUUAAGUGCAAACAAAAGUCUUAAAAUGCAAUUUAAGUAUUAUCUAAGUCUAGCAGGCUUUAGUAACAGUGAGUGAGAGAAAGUAGAACGUGUAACUGCUUUCCGGCUGCACAUUUAAGGUAGAAUUAAAGUGGAAUAGAAUACUGUUCAUGCAGCGAUGUUGUGCUGCCGUGCCGUGCGAGAUCAGCUGUGCACAUUUUGCACCGAACACUGUUUUUUUAAGGCGUCCGACAUUUUUCAAAUGCUUAUUCCAGAUCACGCCACACAAAAGCUUACCGCUCCACAUUAUGGGGUGGCAACUGCACAUACGUGUACAAAUGAUGUAUACCAACUAAUCGAUUAUUAAAUUAGUUGCCAACUAUUUUAUUAAUCGAUGAUUUUAAUCGAUUAAAUCCAUUAGUUGUUGAAGCCCUAAUCCACACACUCAUUCUGUCAGUCUGUAAUACACUACAGGAAGUGUAGGUGGCACUCUAUAAUGGUCUAAAUAUGUUGCUUUGUGAUUACUAGGUGGUUGCUAUGGUAUCCCAAGUGGUUGUUAUCCAUCUGCUUAGCUCAAUCUAAUCCAACUAACCUGUUCAGAUGGUGCCCACCUCCCAUUCACUCUGCUGCUGAUAGAAAUACAGAUAUACAGAAAUACUGUGUGUAUUGUAAACAGUGAAUGUUUGAAUGUAAAACAGAGCUGAUCUCACUGUGUGUGUGUGUGUGUGUGUAAAGCAGAGAUAUAUGUGGUCUGAGGGCGUAAAGAGGGGAAAGGUCAGGAUGAGUCCUACUCUGAACUCUUAAAGCCAUAAUUGGUGCUGUAAAUAUAGCUUACAUACACUGUAUGUACAAAUGCUUAUAUAAAUUCCUAAUGAAAAACAAUUCUACAUAGUAAAUGAGUAGUGAAGUGAUCUAUCAGAUUAUAAAGGAACACAUAAUUAAUCAUGUAGUAACUUAAAAACAGGGUUAAACAAACUAAAAUACUAAUAAGCUGCUCUUAUCUGGGGAGCUGUUUGUUAACUUGUGGUUUCUGAGGCUGGUAACUCUGAUGGGUGGUUCUGAUGAGUGCCAGUUUCAUCAUUAUGAUGUUUUUGCGGUGACGGCAGUUGAAGAAACUUUCUUAAAGUUCUUGAAAUUCUUCUUCUCAGAUUGACUGACCUUCAUUUCUCCUUAAAGUAUUUUUUUCUUUACUCAGUUUAGUAGUUAUUGCCAUAAUAUGGAUUAGUUUUUCACUUUCGUUUUCUGUUAAAAGCAGGGUUUCUGGUCCCGCAGCUUACCAUCAGCUGCCAGAGUAGGUAAAUGGGUAGGAAGGUAGGUAUGUAGGUAGGUAUAUGGGUAGAUAGGUAGGAAGGUAGGUAUGUAGGUAGGUAUAUGGGUAGAUAGGUAGGAAGGUAGGUAUGUAGGUAGGUAUAUGGGUAGAUAGGUAGGAAGGUAGGUAUGUAGGUAGGUAUAUGGGUAGAUAGGUAGGAAGGUAGGUAUGUAGGUAGGUAUAUGGGUAGAUAGGUAGGAAGGUAGGUAUGUAGGUAGGUAUAUGGGUAGAUAGGUAGGAAGGUAGGUAUGUAGGUAGGUAAAUAGGUAGAUAGGUAGGAAGGUAGGUAUGUAGGUAGGUAUAUGGGUAGGCAGGCAGGUAGGAAGGUAUGUAGAUUGGUACGUAGAUACGUAGGUAGAUAGGUAGGUACUACAUAGGUAUGAAGUUAGGUAGGUACGUAGGUUAGCUUGUAAGUACGUAGAUAGGUAGGUAUGUAGGUAGG